UUAGGAAUCUUCCACAAUGGGCGAAAGCCUGAUGGAGCAACGCCGCGUGAAGGAUGAAGGCCCUCGGGUCGUAAACUUCUUUUAUAAGUGAAGAAUAUGACGGUAACUUAUGAAUAAGCACCGGCUAACUACGUGCCAGCAGCCGCGGUCAUACGUAGGGUGCAAGCAUUAUCCGGAGUGACUGGGCGUAAAGAGUUGCGUAGGUGGUUUGUUAAGUAGAUAGUGAAAUCUGGCGGCUCAACCGUACAGGCUAUUAUCUAAACUGGCAAACUCGAGAAUGGUAGAGGUAACUGGAAUUUCUUGUGUAGGAGUGAAAUCCGUAGAUAUAAGAAGGAACACCAGUGGCGUAGGCAGGUUACUGGACCAUUUCUGACACUGAGGCACGAAAGCGUGGGGAGCGAACCGG
Molecule: ribosomal RNA, 406 nt
Filed under: Bacillota bacterium
Lineage: Bacteria; Bacillati; Bacillota
Description: Firmicutes bacterium partial 16S ribosomal RNA
Rfam family: Bacterial small subunit ribosomal RNA
Source: RNAcentral